This 73-nucleotide transfer RNA is filed under the name Camelus bactrianus (Bactrian camel). It matches the Rfam family "tRNA". Rfam says of the family: Transfer RNA (tRNA) molecules are approximately 80 nucleotides in length. Lineage: Eukaryota; Metazoa; Chordata; Mammalia; Artiodactyla; Camelidae. RNAcentral also lists the same sequence under 2 other names. The record is from Rfam by way of RNAcentral.
AGGGGCAUAGCUUAAGUUGUAGAGCACAUGCUUAGCAUGCAUGAGGUCCUGGGUUCAAUCCCCAGUACCUUCA